Molecule: transfer RNA, 53 nt
Filed under: Daucus aureus
Lineage: Eukaryota; Viridiplantae; Streptophyta; Magnoliopsida; Apiales; Apiaceae
Description: partial tRNA-His
Source: RNAcentral
GGCGGAUGUAGCCAAGUGGAUCAAGGCAGUGGAUUGUGAAUCCACCCAUGCGC